This is a long non-coding RNA of Gallus gallus (chicken), 344 nucleotides long. RefSeq lists it as uncharacterized. The record is from RefSeq and is a predicted model, not a curated record. NCBI's taxonomy places the organism in Eukaryota, Metazoa, Chordata, Aves, Galliformes, Phasianidae. The transcript is spliced from 2 exons.
GAGAGCAGCUGCAAGCAAAAGAGGCGGGAAACGACGGCGGCGUUCUGCGCUCCUAUUGGCUGAGGCACAAGUGCUUGCCUGAGGGUGUGGUUGCAAAUGGUGUGCUUAGAGAGUGAAGUAGCAAGAGGGAUGUGGGCUGAGAAGGAGGUAUGGGAAAUUGGAGAGAAAUCAUCUUCGUACAUCCUUGGAGAGGAACUGAUGGAAAGGAGGAAAGCACUGGAGAGGUGGAGAAAGUAGGGGAAGAAGCUCUACAGAAAGGAAAGAAAGUAGAACACAGACAGAAACACUCAGCUGUAACGUAAAAUACAACUUGCAAAUAAACAUGUCAUGGUUUUAUCGUUUUC